UACGAAGGGGGCUAGCGUUGCUCGGAAUCACUGGGCGUAAAGGGUGCGUAGGCGGGUCUUUAAGUCAGGGGUGAAAUCCUGGAGCUCAACUCCAGAACUGCCUUUGAUACAGCACGUCUCGAGUCCGGAAGAGGUGGGUGGAAUUCCUAGUGUAGAGGUGAAAUUCGUAGAUAUUAGGAAGAACACCGGUGGCGAAGGCGGCCCACUGGUCCGGUACUGACGCUGAGGUGCGAAAGCGUGGGGAGCAAACAGG
Molecule: ribosomal RNA, 253 nt
Filed under: uncultured bacterium
Lineage: Bacteria
Description: partial 16S ribosomal RNA
Rfam family: Bacterial small subunit ribosomal RNA
Source: RNAcentral